AUGCCUCAACAGCAAGGACAAAGACAUCAAACUCAAACAAAUGAAGUACUAUUUCAAGGGAUUGAAUUCUUGCAGCGGGAUCCAGCACUACAUCCACAGAUUUGGCAAUAUCCACCUAAUCAAAGAGAUGAUGUGCAGCGAGCAUAUUUGAAGCUUGGUAUUAUGCAGCCCCGUUUGCAGAAUUACAAAGCUUAUCCAGAAGGUUGCAAAAGACGCUUUAAGUAUGACUGGUUCAAGGAUUUCCCAUCAUGGUUGGAGUACUUGGAGGACAGUCAUCAUGCAUAUUGCGUCUAUUGUUUCUUUUUCAGCAAAAACAAAAACAAGAGAGGUGGUUCAGAUGUCUUUACAGUACGAGGAUUUGUAAACUGGAAGAAGGUCCAUGAUGGAAAGAAAUGUGCUUUCUUAAAUCACAUAGGUUCUGAACCUUGCUCUGAACAUAAUAAUGCAAUCAAAGCAUGCCAUGACUUCUUGAACCAGCAAGGCCAUUUAGAAAAUGUUGUAGCAGUGGGCAACCAGAGGGAUAUAGAAAGAAACCAGCUGAGGGUGAAAGUAUCAAUUGCAGCUGUUAAGUGGCUUACAACACAUUCGUGCGCAUUUAGAGGCCAUGAUGACACUCCAGACUCAAAGAACAGAGGGAACUUUAUUGAAUUGUUAAAGCUCCUUGCAGAAUUCAAUCCCGAGAUUGCUGAAAUUAUUUUGGAGAAUGCUCCAUACAGUUCAAAGUACACAUCACAUGAAAUCCAACAGGAGAUUUUGGGUAUUUAUGCAUUCAAAGUUAGGAAACAUAUCCGUGAAGAGAUUGGGGGUUCUAAGUUUUCUAUUCUAGUGGAUGAGACAUGUGAUGUAGCAAAAAGAGAGCAGAUGGCAUUGGUUCUCAGAUUUGUUGAUGAAGAUCGUAUAUUGCAAGAGCGGCUCUUUGCCUUGAUACAUGUGACGAACACCAAAGCUGCAACACUUAAAGAGGUAUUGAGUUAUGUGUUAUCCAAACAUGCUUUUGAUGUUCAGAACCUUCAUGGGCAGGGAUACGAUGGGGCUAGUAAUAUGAGGGGGGACUUCAAUGGCUUGCAAGCUCUUUUUCUCAGAGAAUGCCCGUGUGCAUAUUAUGUCCACUGCUAUGCUCAUCGCUUGCAACUUGCGCUAGUGUCUGCAUCGAACGCCAUGAUGAGCUUCGUGAUGUCCAGUUGGAGGAACUAG
Molecule: ribosomal RNA, 1194 nt
Filed under: Triticum aestivum (bread wheat)
Lineage: Eukaryota; Viridiplantae; Streptophyta; Magnoliopsida; Poales; Poaceae
Description: partial small subunit ribosomal RNA
Source: RNAcentral